CGCUCAAUACAGAAGACCGCGCAAACUUUGCGCGGUCCUCUAAAAUAAGCAGACCCAUCCAAUCUGUCAAGUGUCAUGUCGAGAAACAGUUCUCCGUCAAACAAAUUUUUUUUUUCCCUGAAUGAAGAGUUCCGUCUAUCAAACGACUGCUAUUAGGUUUCUGAGAUUACAGUGGUUUCUAGAUGUUCUACGGGCCACUGUAUUUCAAACGUAAAUCAGAUUGCCUAAGCCUCUUUAUAAAGUUGAAAAAAGCUCUUUAGUUUUCAAACUGAUCCCUAUUUCCCAAAAGAACGCUUUAAUCAAUUCACUAGGAAAGUUAUUUCUGGCGUCAGCUGUUACCGUUUUGUGUGUGUGUGGUCUUUCCACAUCUUCAUGUAACCCACUUAAGCGCAUUACGUACUUAUUUUAUCACCUUCCAUGAUCCUCUUUUUUUAUCCAAAAUUGCACGGCCACGCUUUAAUAAAUUCUUGAUAAAAAAAAAAUAAAACAGCAAAGUUCGGUUUAAGGUUUUCUUUCUAAGGUUUUCUACGAAUACACUCCAUUCUAUAAUCUAGGUUGGCAACUAUGAAUUAAUUCUAAUCAUAAGUUUAGUGCUCCAGUUAAAAUAGUAAAACUUAAGUUAGCGUUUGGCCUACGAAAAAAAAACACGGAGGUAUUGUUAGAAAACCUUAUCAAAAACGAUAUACUGAACUUUGCCGGGCUUUUUUAUUUCUGUUUGUUUCUUGACUUUGUUUUGUUUUGUUUUGUUUUUUUGUUUUUUGUUUUUUGUUUUUAGUUUUUUGCAAUAUCUUUUCUAAGCGCCUUAUUCUGAUCCUGCAAAUCUGAUCUUAUUAUUUUAUCGAAAACAGAUUGAUAACUUGAAGGGGAUAAUCUUGGACACCAACUGCCUUUGUUAAACUGAACAUACCCGACAAACUUAAGCUCGGGUGUGAAUAUAAAUGCCUCAUUAAAUCACCUUUGGUUAUUUCUAUCAAGAUUUCAAUACAUCUACGUUCUUGUUCAGUUCUCACGAAAAGGACUUAUCUUGUGAAGAUAGCAAUGUGGACAGUCAGCUUAGCGCAGAUGUCACUUGCACAUUUUGCAAGGACGACAUGACACCAGUGACGCUGGCUUUGAAGAAUCACUUGGACGUGUGUCCUCUUUUCCCGGUCAAAUGUCCUAACAUGUGUGGCAAGAUGGAGGUUCCUCGAGAAAAGGUAGAGUAUAAAACUCAAAACUGAAAAAUUAUCAUGAAUAGCAAUGGUUAUAGCAGUAUGUACAAAAUUUCCUAGAUUACGAUCGGAUGCCUCUUCCGUUCAAGUGGUACAUUUUAUAGUACAAGUAAUAUUUACUUCAAGUGAAUCGCGCGUCGCGUUUGUGAUGAAUGUAAAUGUUUAAUUCAAAUCUUCAAAGUAUUUGAUGUGGUCUUUCAAUAUUUUUAAAUACUUUGACGACAGUCCGCGUUCUCAGUCAAGUUUAUCGGUUGUUUUCAUUUUAAAAUAUCUUUGCGGAACUACGAGUCUUAAAUAUUUGUUACAUGCAAAAAAUAAAAUUCAAUGAUAAGUAGCAUCUUAUCGACAUAUCAUUCGCUUGAGAGGUUAUCUGCUAUGAAACAUCUUAAUUUAUUUCUCAAAUGACGAUAUUACCUUCUCAAGCGAUAAGCAACAGCAUAAUUAUUUCCAGAAAGCUAAAAUUCUGAGAAACGCUAUGUUUCAGUUCACUGGAUUGAAAGUCGAGAAACUGGGAGAUGUUAUAAAUCUCGAAUUAUUUUAUGGCCGGCUGGCAAUUAUGCCAUGUUUUCCAGGCAUCAGUACAAACUUACACGCUGUGAAUUUUAUUGUAUAAGGACUUCAAAUUGUGCUACUUUCUCGAACUUUACCACUACUCUAGUCAGUUUAGCUUCUCCUUAAAUAUAAUUUUUUUCUUUUUUGAAAAGUAGUCUAUUAAAGGGGUUGACUUAAAGAAUCACAGGGCCUUUG
Molecule: long non-coding RNA, 1958 nt
Filed under: Orbicella faveolata
Lineage: Eukaryota; Metazoa; Cnidaria; Anthozoa; Scleractinia; Merulinidae
Description: uncharacterized LOC110063151
Source: RNAcentral